ACGGAGGGUGCAAGCGUUAAUCGGAAUCACUGGGCGUAAAGCGCUCGUAGGCGGCUUGGUCAGUCAGAUGUGAAAGCCCUCGGCUCAACCGGGGAACUGCAUUUGAUACUGCCAGGCUUGAGUGUCGGAGAGGGUGGCAGAAUUCCAGGUGUAGCAGUGAAAUGCGUAGAUAUGUGGAGGAACACCAGUGGCGAAGGCAGCCACCUGGGAUAAAACUGACGCUGAUGCGCGAAAGCGUGGGGAGCAAACAG
This 251-nucleotide ribosomal RNA is filed under the name uncultured prokaryote. Its description in RNAcentral is "partial 16S rRNA". It matches the Rfam family "Bacterial small subunit ribosomal RNA", at positions 525 to 775 of the family's 1533-position model. The record is from RNAcentral.